GCCUUUUGGUUGUAAAGCACUUUAAGCGAGGAGGAGGCUACCGAGAUUAAUACUCUUGGAUAGUGGACGUUACUCGCAGAAUAAGCACCGGCUAACUCUGUGCCAGCAGCCGCGGUAAUACAGAGGGUGCAAGCGUUAAUCGGAUUUACUGGGCGUAAAGCGCGCGUAGGUGGCCAAUUAAGUCAAAUGUGAAAUCCCCGAGCUUAACUUGGGAAUUGCAUUCGAUACUGGUUGGCUAGAGUAUGGGAGAGGAUGGUAGAAUUCCAGGUGUAGCGGUGAAAUGCGUAGAGAUCUGGAGGAAUACCGAUGGCGAAGGCAGCCAUCUGGCCUAAUACUGACACUGAGGUGCGAAAGCAUGGGGAGCAAACAGGAUUAGAUACCCUGGUAGUCCAUGCCGUAAACGAUGUCUACUAGCCGUUGGGGCCUUUGAGGCUUUAGUGGCGCAGCUAACGCGAUAAGUAGACCGCCUGGGGAGUACGGUCGCAAGACUAAAACUCAAAUGAAUUGACGGGGGCCCGCACAAGCGGUGGAGCAUGUGGUUUAAUUCGAUGCAACGCGAAGAACCUUACCUGGUCUUGACAUAGUAAGAACUUUCCAGAGAUGGAUUGGUGCCUUC
This 616-nucleotide ribosomal RNA is filed under the name Acinetobacter lwoffii. RNAcentral's name for it is "bacterial SSU rRNA". It matches the Rfam family "Bacterial small subunit ribosomal RNA", at positions 414 to 1021 of the family's 1533-position model. The record is from RNAcentral. Lineage: Bacteria; Pseudomonadati; Pseudomonadota; Gammaproteobacteria; Moraxellales; Moraxellaceae.